Molecule: ribosomal RNA, 25 nt
Filed under: Boerhavia triquetra var. intermedia
Lineage: Eukaryota; Viridiplantae; Streptophyta; Magnoliopsida; Caryophyllales; Nyctaginaceae
Description: partial 18S ribosomal RNA
Source: RNAcentral
GUGAACCUGCGGCAAGGCAUCAUUG